GUGCUCUCUUCAGCAGCACAUAUCCUAAAAUUGGGAAGAUACCGAGAAGAUUAGCAUGGCCCCUGCGCAAGGAUGACACGCAAAAGUUUUAAAAAUAAAUUUUCU
Small nuclear RNA from Rhinolophus ferrumequinum (greater horseshoe bat), 105 nucleotides. Lineage: Eukaryota; Metazoa; Chordata; Mammalia; Chiroptera; Rhinolophidae. The record is from Ensembl.